UAUAGAUGGAUCCGCGCUGCAUUAGCUAGUUGGUAAGGUAACGGCUUACCAAGGCAACGAUGCAUAGCCGACCUGAGAGGGUGAUCGGCCACACUGGAACUGAGACACGGUCCAGACUCCUACGGGAGGCAGCAGUAGGGAAUCUUCCGCAAUGGGCGAAAGCCUGACGGAGCAACGCCGCGUGAGUGAUGAAGGUCUUCGGAUCGUAAAACUCUGUUAUUAGGGAAGAACAUAUGUGUAAGUAACUGUGCACAUCUUGACGGUACCUAAUCAGAAAGCCACGGCUAACUACGUGCCAGCAGCCGCGGUAAUACGUAGGUGGCAAGCGUUAUCCGGAAUUAUUGGGCGUAAAGCGCGCGUAGGCGGUUUUUUAAGUCUGAUGUGAAAGCCCACGGCUCAACCGUGGAGGGUCAUUGGAAACUGGAAAACUUGAGUGCAGAAGAGGAAAGUGGAAUUCCAUGUGUAGCGGUGAAAUGCGCAGAGAUAUGGAGGAACACCAGUGGCGAAGGCGACUUUCUGGUCUGUAACUGACG
Molecule: ribosomal RNA, 533 nt
Filed under: Staphylococcus aureus
Lineage: Bacteria; Bacillati; Bacillota; Bacilli; Caryophanales; Staphylococcaceae
Also listed under: 1 other name
Description: bacterial SSU rRNA
Rfam family: Bacterial small subunit ribosomal RNA
Source: RNAcentral